GUACUCGCUUUGCUGAUACAUAUACUAAAAUUGGAACGAAAGAGAGAAGAUUAGCAUGGCCCCUGUGCAAGGAUGACACGCAAAAUCAUGAAGCGUUCCACAAUUUU
Molecule: small nuclear RNA, 107 nt
Filed under: Diabrotica virgifera virgifera (western corn rootworm)
Lineage: Eukaryota; Metazoa; Arthropoda; Insecta; Coleoptera; Chrysomelidae
Source: RNAcentral